This is an RNA transcript of Phacochoerus africanus (Common warthog), 1813 nucleotides long. It is a transcript of the gene named arsenite methyltransferase, with no coding region annotated. The transcript is spliced from 11 exons. The record is from RefSeq and is a predicted model, not a curated record. Lineage: Eukaryota; Metazoa; Chordata; Mammalia; Artiodactyla; Suidae.
UGAUUUAGGUGAUUUCAUUCCCAAAAGGGGCGAAAAAUCAAUAUAUAAGGGGUUUCACACGUGCUUUAUAUAAUGAAAAUCACAAUGGAGCAAUAAAGGCAGAUACUAAUUAAUAGUAAUAGGCUCUUCCUGGUUGAAAAGACCAAGUCGGCCAAGAUGACGUUGGGCCCAGCAGGGCCAAAGUGCGAUCUGACGACACGUGGUCUGACCAGGAGCAGAGCAUCGGACCUGCGGCGCUGGGCGGGGAAUCAGGCCUGCCUGCCGCGGGGCGGGGCCGCGUGUGUGUGCUGGGCCUCGAGCGCUGGCUGCGGGAGACCCAAGUCCUGGAGUCCGGGGACCGAGGAGACAUGGCCUGCCCCCGCAGUGACGCUGAGAUCCAGAAGAACGUGCAGGUAUUAUGGCUGUGGCCUGGUCAUCCCUGAAUGUCUGGAGAACUGCUGGAUUUUGGAUCUGGGUAGUGGAAGUGGUCGAGAUUGUUAUGCACUUAGUCAGCUGGUUGGUGAGAAGGGACAUGUCACUGGAGUAGACAUGACAGAAGGUCAGGUAGAAGUGGCUAACAAGUACAUUGACUAUCACAUGGAAAAAUAUGGCUUCCGGACACCCAAUGUGACUUUUAUUCAUGGCUACAUAGAGAAGUUGGGAGAGGCCGGAAUCAAGAAUGAGAGUUACGAUAUUGUUAUAUCCAAUUGUGUCAUUAACCUUGUACCUGAUAAACAGCAAGUGCUACAGGAGGUAUAUCGAGUGCUAAAGCACGGCGGGGAGCUAUAUUUCAGUGACGUCUAUGCUAGCCUUGAAUUGCCAGAAGAAAUCAGGACACACAAAGUUUUAUGGGGUGAAUGCCUGGGUGGUGCUUUGUACUGGAAGGACCUUGCAAUCCUUGCCCGAAAAAUUGGGUUCUCUCCUCCACGUUUGGUUGCUGCCAAUUUCAUUACAAUUCAAAACAAGGAACUAGAAAGUGUGAUUGGUGACUGUCGUUUUGUUUCUGCAACAUUUCGCCUCUUCAAACUCUCUAAGACAGGACCAACCAAAAGAUGCAAAGUUAUUUACAAUGGAGGAAUCACUGGACAUGAAAAAGAGCUAAUAUUUGAUGUAAAUUUCACAUUUAAGAAAGAUGAAACUGUUGAAGUGGAUGAAGAAACAGCAGCUAUCUUGAAGAAUUCACGAUUUACCCAAGAUUUUCUGAUCAGACCUAUUGAAGAGAAGUUGCCAAUAUGUGGUGGCUAUACUGCUCUAGAAACAAAGUGGUGGCUUGGUCAUACUCUUGACUUCCAACCUUUGUGCCUGGUUUUCCUCUGACCCCGUUGGCACUGCUGUUAGAGGUUAUCUCAUUUGAAGAUGAAGGGAAGAAAAAUAAAGAUUGCCAUCUUAUCUUUUGAAAAUUCCACUUACUCUGCCCUGAAAUCUUGCUGGUGGUGGUCAGCAGUCUCAACGUCAGAACAUCAGUAAUUGUUAAUGAUGGCCCUAGUAUCCAGGACCUAACUUUUUUCUCUUGCACACAUUUCUGGCAAUUAGAGUGAGUGAAGAGAAGAAGUCUCUGCAUUUCAGUAACUCAGUUCCAAAAAGAUCAAAGGCACUGAGAAUUGCACAGAACAAAACAAAGCAAAAUCAACUUACCUGAUCCAAGAGGGACUACCUUUCUGAAGCUUUAAGUAACAUUUACCCGAAAGCACUGAUGACUUGAUUAUAAGUGAGGGACUGAUGCUACUCCCAGGAGGCCACAGAAUUGUAAAAUUCGAUCCCCUUUCUAGGAUGAAAUCACAGAUCCAUUCAAGCUUGCGGAAGAGUCUGACAGUGCGAAGUCUAGAAGUUCCCC